This 556-nucleotide ribosomal RNA is filed under the name uncultured Thermofilum sp. RNAcentral's name for it is "bacterial SSU rRNA". It matches the Rfam family "Archaeal small subunit ribosomal RNA", at positions 345 to 903 of the family's 1478-position model. Lineage: Archaea; Thermoproteati; Thermoproteota; Thermoprotei; Thermofilales; Thermofilaceae. The record is from RNAcentral.
AAACUUUGCAAUAAGCGCAAGCUUGACAGGGCUAUCCCGAGUGCCAUCCGCUGAGGAAGGCUUUUACCCAGUCUAGAACGCUGGGGGAAUAAGGAGAGGGCAAGUCUGGUGUCAGCCGCCGCGGUAAUACCAGCUCUUCGAGUGGUGUGGAUGUUUAUUGGGCCUAAAGCAUCCGUAGCUGGCUAGGUUAGUCCCCUGUUAAAUCCACCGAAUUAAUCGUUGGAUUGCGGGGGAUACUGCUUGGCUAGGGAACGGGAGAGGCAGACGGUAUCUCCGGGGUAGGGGUGAAAUCCUAUAAUCCCGGGAAGACCACCAGUGGCGAAGGCUGUCUGCUAGAACGCGUCCGACGGUGAGGGAUGAAAGCUGGGGGAGCGAACCGGAUUAGAUACCCGGGUAGUCCCAGCUGUAAACGAUGCAGGCCAGGUGUUUGGACGGCCACGUGCCGUUCUAGUGCCGCAGGGAAGCUGUUAAGCCUGCCGCCUGGGGAGUACGAUCGCAAGAUUGAAACUUAAAGGAAUUGGCGGGGGAGCACCACAAGGGGUGAAGCUUGCGGUUU